Non-coding RNA from Dipodomys ordii (Ord's kangaroo rat), 72 nucleotides. NCBI's taxonomy places the organism in Eukaryota, Metazoa, Chordata, Mammalia, Rodentia, Heteromyidae. The record is from Rfam.
GGAAGUUGGCUCAGUGGUAGAGUCCUUGCCUUGCAUGCAUGAGGUCCUAGGUUUGAUUCCUCAGAACCUCUA